GCUGGGCGUGGUGGCUCACGCCUGUAAUCCCAAUGGCUCAGGAAGCUGAGGCAAGGGGAUUGCAAAUUAGCAAGGCCCUAUCCUGUCUCAG
This 91-nucleotide small RNA is filed under the name Marmota monax (woodchuck). Lineage: Eukaryota; Metazoa; Chordata; Mammalia; Rodentia; Sciuridae. The record is from RNAcentral.